UUUCUCCAACAGGAUAAAAUAUAAUAAAUCUAAAUUGCUCAUUUUGGAAAUUAAAACAAAGAAAAGGUUGUUGCCGGCAUUGAAAAUCGAAAUUUGUUUUCAAUCUUUCCGGUCACAGUUGUAGCUAAAUGAAAGGGAGCGAUUUUAUUUCAGAUAUUAUUCUUGGAGCAAUUGUUUUUGUCAUAAGUUAAACUUACAACAAUUUAGUUUUAAACACCGAAAAUUUUUAUUUUAAUUCACAUUCACAUUCGCUGAGUAUUAGUUUUAUUAAUACUUUUUGCCUUACAGCUAAUUUCCUAAUGCAUGUAGGGUGAAACUUUGGUUGGCUUCCUUAAUUAAUGUUUACUCAAGCUCUGUUAUUAAGAUUGACAUCUUUAUAUAUAGGUAUGUAAACCUGUAUACAUGCUAUUUAAUUGAAUUGGACGUUAUCAAAAUAUAAUUAUACAAAAUAUACAAACAAAGCAAGCAGGCAAACCAAAGUGGUGAUCUACAUACAUUAGAAAAUUAGCUGUAAGCUUCAGUGAGAUUAGACAAUAUGUUUAUCAUUUCUCUUUAAGACAAUUUGAAAUGAAACAAAUGACAAACAAAAAUGACCCUUCGUUAUCAUUUUAUUUUUACUAUAAGAUUUUGUCAAAUAAGCAGUAUAAAUAAAUUUUAACUUCAUUGCAAGAUCGGACAUUAUUUUACGAGAAUCAUCCAGACAUCAGUUACAUGCACAUGUUGCCAGUAUGUCAAAACUUUUAGGAAUAUUUGAUUAUGGGCCUAACCUUGUGAAUACUCAUUUUUUUUAUUUUUGAAAAAUUGACACUAAAAUUAGAAGGAUCAUUGCAUAAGGAACAUGUUUACUAAGUUUUAAGUUGAUAGGACUUCAACUUCGCCAAAAACUACCUUGACCAAAAACUGUAACCAAAAACUUUAACCUGAAGUGGGACAGACGGACGGACGAACGAACGGACGCACAGACCAGAAAACAUAAUGCCCAUAAAUCGGAAAAAAAAAACCUUUCACCUUACCUGUACACAAUCGGCGCAAACGAAAGACAAAAUCUACGCAAGUGAAGAAGAAAAAAAAAUGAAAUGCAGAUCGACGCAAAUAUAAGACAAAAUCUACGCAUGUGAAAGAAUGAAAAAAAGGAAAUGCAGAACGGCGCAAAUGCAAAAAGUUGAGAUCAAAAUUUAUAUUUUAUUAUUUAUUAGAACGAAGGUUAAAUAUAGUGUAGUAUCUUAUGUGUCCAUUUGUGUUAAAUCUCCACAGGAUAUUAAAGUAGCGCGACGC
RNAcentral lists this long non-coding RNA (1275 nucleotides) under Mytilus galloprovincialis (Mediterranean mussel). Lineage: Eukaryota; Metazoa; Mollusca; Bivalvia; Mytilida; Mytilidae. The record is from RNAcentral.